GCCCCGGUAGCUCAGUGGAUAGAGCGUCCGCCUCCUAAGCGGAAGGUCCCACGUUCGAGUCGUGGUCGGGGCACCA
Molecule: transfer RNA, 76 nt
Filed under: Gammaproteobacteria bacterium
Lineage: Bacteria; Pseudomonadati; Pseudomonadota; Gammaproteobacteria
Description: tRNA-Arg
Rfam family: tRNA
About the family: Transfer RNA (tRNA) molecules are approximately 80 nucleotides in length.
Source: RNAcentral